Molecule: ribosomal RNA, 1789 nt
Filed under: Escherichia coli
Lineage: Bacteria; Pseudomonadati; Pseudomonadota; Gammaproteobacteria; Enterobacterales; Enterobacteriaceae
Description: partial 23S ribosomal RNA
Rfam family: Bacterial large subunit ribosomal RNA
Source: RNAcentral
UUAAGUUGCAGGGUAUAGACCCGAAACCCGGUGAUCUAGCCAUGGGCAGGUUGAAGGUUGGGUAACACUAACUGGAGGACCGAACCGACUAAUGUUGAAAAAUUAGCGGAUGACUUGUGGCUGGGGGUGAAAGGCCAAUCAAACCGGGAGAUAGCUGGUUCUCCCCGAAAGCUAUUUAGGUAGCGCCUCGUGAAUUCAUCUCCGGGGGUAGAGCACUGUUUCGGCAAGGGGGUCAUCCCGACUUACCAACCCGAUGCAAACUGCGAAUACCGGAGAAUGUUAUCACGGGAGACACACGGCGGGUGCUAACGUCCGUCGUGAAGAGGGAAACAACCCAGACCGCCAGCUAAGGUCCCAAAGUCAUGGUUAAGUGGGAAACGAUGUGGGAAGGCCCAGACAGCCAGGAUGUUGGCUUAGAAGCAGCCAUCAUUUAAAGAAAGCGUAAUAGCUCACUGGUCGAGUCGGCCUGCGCGGAAGAUGUAACGGGGCUAAACCAUGCACCGAAGCUGCGGCAGCGACGCUGAUGCGUUGUUGGGUAGGGGAGCGUUCUGUAAGCCUGUGAAGGUGUGCUGUGAGGCAUGCUGGAGGUAUCAGAAGUGCGAAUGCUGACAUAAGUAACGAUAAAGCGGGUGAAAAGCCCGCUCGCCGGAAGACCAAGGGUUCCUGUCCAACGUUAAUCGGGGCAGGGUGAGUCGACCCCUAAGGCGAGGCCGAAAGGCGUAGUCGAUGGGAAACAGGUUAAUAUUCCUGUACUUGGUGUUACUGCGAAGGGGGGACGGAGAAGGCUAUGUUGGCCGGGCGACGGUUGUCCCGGUUUAAGCGUGUAGGCUGGUUUUCCAGGCAAAUCCGGAAAACUAAGGCUGAGGCGUGAUGACGAGGCACUACGGUGCUGAAGCAACAAAUGCCCUGCUUCCAGGAAAAGCCUCUAAGCAUCAGGUAACAUCAAAUCGUACCCCAAACCGACACAGGUGGUCAGGUAGAGAAUACCAAGGCGCUUGAGAGAACUCGGGUGAAGGAACUAGGCAAAAUGGUGCCGUAACUUCGGGAGAAGGCACGCUGAUAUGUAGGUGAAGUCCCUCGCGGAUGGAGCUGAAAUCAGUCGAAGAUACCAGCUGGCUGCAACUGUUUAUUAAAAACACAGCACUGUGCAAACACGAAAGUGGACGUAUACGGUGUGACGCCUGCCCGGUGCCGGAAGGUUAAUUGAUGGGGUCAGCGCAAGCGAAGCUCUUGAUCGAAGCCCCGGUAAACGGCGGCCGUAACUAUAACGGUCCUAAGGUAGCGAAAUUCCUUGUCGGGUAAGUUCCGACCUGCACGAAUGGCGUAAUGAUGGCCAGGCUGUCUCCACCCGAGACUCAGUGAAAUUGAACUCGCUGUGAAGAUGCAGUGUACCCGCGGCAAGACGGAAAGACCCCGUGAACCUUUACUAUAGCUUGACACUGAACAUUGAGCCUUGAUGUGUAGGAUAGGUGGGAGGCUUUGAAGUGUGGACGCCAGUCUGCAUGGAGCCGACCUUGAAAUACCACCCUUUAAUGUUUGAUGUUCUAACGUUGACCCGUAAUCCGGGUUGCGGACAGUGUCUGGUGGGUAGUUUGACUGGGGCGGUCUCCUCCUAAAGAGUAACGGAGGAGCACGAAGGUUGGCUAAUCCUGGUCGGACAUCAGGAGGUUAGUGCAAUGGCAUAAGCCAGCUUGACUGCGAGCGUGACGGCGCGAGCAGGUGCGAAAGCAGGUCAUAGUGAUCCGGUGGUUCUGAAUGGAAGGGCCAUCGCUCAACGGAUAAAAGGUAC